Long non-coding RNA from Apis cerana (Asiatic honeybee), 5276 nucleotides. RefSeq lists it as uncharacterized. Lineage: Eukaryota; Metazoa; Arthropoda; Insecta; Hymenoptera; Apidae. The record is from RefSeq and is a predicted model, not a curated record.
UUAAAAAAAUAUUUCUUUAUUAUAUUUGAAGGAAAAAAAAUAUAUAGUUUAUACUAACAAUUAAAUUGAUUAGCUAUAUGUACUAUUAUGUAUUAUUCAUGAGAAAAUAUUUUAUUUUUCAGUUUCUUUUUUUUUUUUUUUCUAAGAAAAUUGCAUUUGUAUUAAAUGAAAUUUUUUCAUUUAAGUAAAUUUUUUAAUCUUUAAUAUUACAUUAAUAAAAAUAUUAAAUCUAUAUUAAUUAUUAUACACAUUUUUUAAAUUCUUUGAUACUUUGAUAAUUUUAUUUCAAAUAUCAUAAUCAUAAUCGAAAUGAUGAACUUAUUAAAUUUUUAAAAGAUUUUUAAUUUUAAACUAAAAUCAUAUUUGUCACAUGAAACCUAAAGAGAUCGAUAUUAAAUCAUAACCUAUAUUUCCACUUCCCUUUCUCAUAAAUUAUAAUAUUACCUUUUUAUGUAUCUUAUACUCUUCAUAAAAAGAGAGAGAAAAAGAAAGAACAACAUGAUGAAAAAUAUGAAUCUUUCAACCAACCAAACAGUUCAUUUCGUCAUGAAAUGCUUGAAACUGAUCCAAAAACUGAGCCGUCGCGCGAUAUUGUCAGGCUUAACACCAUACGUCCGGGGAUUAUUGCUUUCACGUAUUCACGGAGUUCAUUCAUUUUUAUCCCACUUAAUUUAGACCUCGUAGCCGUGUCCAUUCCCCCAGUUUCGUUCUCUUUGAGCAAAGCAAACAAACAUAGCUGGGGAAAGCGGCAGAUCGCUCGAAUUCGCAUCGAAAUCCCGCCAAUUUCGAUAGGUUGCACUUUCUCCCAGGUUCACGGACGUUCCUCUUAAGCUUCUUUCUUUGCCCGUCAGUCGCGUCGCGAUCGGCAAAGUUUAAAGUCGAUCCAGACGACAUGGAACGUUACACUGCGUGCAAGAAGCAAUUAACCCUUUGCGUUUUGGGACAGAAAAAGGUUAUCGAUGUUACGACCUGAAACGUCUUAAAAUGACGCCCGGAAUAUCCUGCGGAAUUAAGGGAAUUUAUGUCCCCUGAAUAUUAAUGGAAGUGGAUUGAAAAUUGUGUCUUAAAUACUCUAAAUAUUAAAAAUCAUGUAUACUUAACGCUAGAAUAUAUGAUCUGGAGCAUAUAUGUAUACUUUAUAUAAAGCGAAAUAUAAAUAUAAUGGAACUGUCUCACUUUGAAAUGCAAGAUCGGUGACCUAAAAAUUUUAUUAAUUCGAAGGAUCUCAUUUCGCCUAUGUAAAAAGUAAUGAGAGCAGAUCGACAAAGAUCGGUUACAGAUCGUAUAUAAAAUCAAAGAAUAAGCAUUGUCGAGGAAUUUUACUACUUUCACUCGAUUUUCUCCAUUAUUCUUCUUCAAAAUUCAAAAACAAUGCUGGUAACACGAAUAACCAUGCGUAACAUUAUUUCAAGAAGGAUUUUAGAAUUGCUUGAAAUUGUAAUGAUCUAAAUACACUUAAGCAUAGUAUUGGAGAUUGUUAAAAUACAACUGAUCGCAAAAGCAGUUCGUGGAAGACUGAUUAGAUGAAAUUAUGUAAAUUGCUAUGAAACAUUGGUAAGUUACAGUUCAAGGUAAAAUUUAAUAUUAAAUGAUUAGAAUAAUAUUCACAUAAAGCAUAUAAAUAAAAGAGUUGGUGAAUGAAAAUGAUUUCUUUUAUGCUUUAUGAUUAUAUUCUUUUAUAUUUAAUUUUUCUGAAGAAAUUUUCAGAAACGGUUUAUAUUUAUUAUAAUGAAAAAUCGAGUAGUGUAACGAUUUUUAUCAACUGUUUUUUUAUCUGAAUCUAAUUUAAAUCAAAUCUAGAAAUGAUCAUGAAUAAAAAAUACCUGAGAAAGUAGAAUAAUUUAAUACUCAUGUUGAAUAAUUAUACUUACAAAUAAUAAUAAAAUUAAAUUAUAAUUAAUUAAAUAUUUCUAAAAAAUAUUUGCAUAUUGUUAAUGUUUUUUUCAUACAUACACUGUUACAUAGAAAAAAUAACGAUUUUUCGUUAAAUUCUAAUACUGUUAUCAUUAUGAAGUAGCGGGAUAUUAUUUAAAUCACAAAUAGCAUAUUAAAUAAGAAAUUAAUAUUGAAUUGAUGAUGAAUCAUUCUUAAUUGGCUCGUGAUUCACAGUGCAUUCAAAUAUUAACCUCAAUUUUAUAUUUUCGUUUUAUUGUGUAAAUUAUUGUUUAAAUAUUACCAAUUUUUUAUCAUCAACAUGAUUUUGAAAUUGCAAUCUUAUCAUUUAUCUUAUAUUAUUUUAGUUUAUUUAUAAUAUACAAGAAAAAUUUAUAUAAUUAUAUAGUUUUAAUAAUGCAACAGAUAAUAUAUAUUUUUAGAAUAAAAAGCAAUAUUAAUUUUUUAAUAAUUUUGAUUUUUUCUUGAGUCUCUAUAUAUCUUUAUAAACUUUUCUCAAUGUUGAUUUGACAUCAAUCUUUUUUUCAAUUUCUUUUUAUCAUGAAACGAAAAAGUCAAUCGAAGAAAUUCAAAUAAACAUUAUAUUAUUUAUUACUUGUUUUUAAAGCGAUUAAAUUUUUUAGCAAAUAAAUGGUUAACCUAAUCAUUCCAUCGUUACGCUUCAUGACGGCUCCCUUUUCUCUCAAUUUUAUUUACAUAGGAAUCAGAGGCUUAUCUUUCCAAUGGUAGCAUAAGAUGGCCGGAUAAGAAGCUGGCAAGAGAAAGGAAACGGAGGUUCUAAGGUGAAAGCUGGAUAAAUUCCAUCGUUGCUCUUGUAUUCUAUUAUUUUAAUCUUUUUUAUCCGGAAGAUUCAUCGGCUGUGAGUUAGUGGGAACUUUUGGUGAAACUAUAUAUACGAUUUCAAUUAUGAAACGCACCGGAAGUUGAAGAAUCUUGCGCUCGAAAGCGCGUUAAAUUUUCAGGAAAUUGAAAUAAUUGCUUCGAGCAAAAGCGAUAAAUUAAUUUUGAGAAUCUGAGAAUAAUUUGUUAGUUUGGACAUGUAUUUUAUAAGUUAAUUUGUCUAUCUUUAGUAUCGAAAUCAAAAAUUUAAUAAAAAUUUAAUAAUAAGAUCGAUUUAUCUAAGAAUUAAGAAAUUAAUUUCACUUUGACACGACACUUUGAUAAGACGAAGAGAUUUUUCUGAAGAACCUGAAGAACAUACACGACGAGGAACAUGAAGUGUUCUGCUCGCAUAUAUGCUGCACGUGACUAAAAUACACUUCCUUGCUUGGCCGAGUCAAAAAUAAAAAUACAACUCGUUGACGAUCGAUUUCGAUGUUCUGGAAUCGUUCGAGACAAAAAUUUCACUUUCGUAAAAUGUCUAAGAAUUAAAAAUUCAAAUUUUCUUUUUUAAAAGUUAAAAAUGUAAAAAUAAUUUAUUAGAUAAAAAUAAUUUAUUAGAUAAUAAUUAUCGAAUUACGAAUUAUAAUUAUUGAUGAAUUACUUCAUAUAUUUAUUUAAUACAUAUAUGAUAAAAACGAACGAUUUGAAAUUUUUUAUGUAUAUUUAUUUCUAUAAAUUAAAAUUAAAACAAAAUCUCGAUUAAAACCUUUUCAUUCACAAAUAAAAUUUAUUCAUUAAAUAAAAAUAUUUUUUUAAAUCACAUAUCGAAAACAUUCUGAUUUUCAUAAGAUUUCAUAAGAUUUUCAUUUUCAUAAGACAUAAAAUAAAUUCAAUUUUCAGAACGAAAAAUCUUCUAUUACAAAUAUUUUCCAAAGAAUGUAAUGAUCACAAUACGAAUUCAAAUCGGAGUUAAAGACUUUAUGCUUUCGAAUGAUCGCUUCAAGUAUACUCCUACUAUUUUAAACGCGACGCUAGCACGACAGAAUUAAAUCUCUCGAGUGCUCUUCUUUGCCCUAUUUCGGUCCAAUUGUAAGAAAUAAAGCGACAAAGCGAAUGAACGUGCCACGUAUUGUGACGGAAUAGUAUGUACCAUCGUGAGAAGUAAUCAAGAAUCUACGCGAUAUACCGUAGAAUCGAGUUUAAAUUAUUUAAACAGACUACGAAAUUUUCUUCUUAACGAGAAAUUUCUAUUUCAACAUCGAAACUGUGAUACAGAAUAAAACAGAAAUGAAACAAUUCUAUGUGAUGAAAAAUAAAUCGAAGAAGAAAAAUUAUUUUGAAGAAAAUCAAGAUUGAAUUAAAACGCGAAUUAGAUUAUUUUCUUAAAGUGGAUAGUAUGAAUAAAUUGUAUAAAAAGUUAUUCCAUACACGAAAUUUUUUAGAUUAAAUUCUUAUUUGAAUUUUUAAAUUUAAUUCCCUCGAAAAAUAUAAUUUUAAAAUAAACGAAUUUUAUUCUAUUGAUAUUAUCUUUUAUAUUAUUUAAUAUGCAUUAUUAGAUAAUUAAAGAAAUAAACGCAAUAAUAAUGGUCAAAUGAUAAUGCAACAGAAAAUAAACAUUACUUUAAAUACAGCUUCCUAGCAUCAAUUGCUUAAUUGUACGAUGUUCCCUUCAAAUUGUAAUACAAUUAAAAUUCUUUGUAUGGAAGGAUAGCCUGAGAUAAGAUAGAAAAACAGAGAAAUUAUCAUGUAAUUUCCAUUGUAUCCUUUCGUGGAAAGCUUGCACUGUAUAGAAAUAUGUCAAUUUGUUGAACGAUUUAUCAGGAGUUAUCGAAUUAUGCAUUGAAUGCCGCGGCGAAUAAUCAUAUUAAAAAACAUCUUUAUGAAUCAUUUCUUGCAUAAUCUAAUUUAACGUUUAAUCUUCAUUUUAAUUAUUGAAAUUCAACGUCACAUAUUUUAUAAACAUUAAUAUUAUCAUCGUCCAUUUGUUUUCUUUGUAGAUUUGACAUCAUUCUUAUCUUAUUAUUAAGUAAGUAUUUUAUAUCAUUCAUCCAUCAUAAUAUGUUCAUCUGAAUCAAAGAGAAACUGAAAAUGUACGUAUACUAUACUUAUCGAAAUAUUGAAAAAUGUUUUAAGUUUAAUUUGAAAAUUUAGCACACAUGAGACGCUAACAAAGACAUACGAAAAAAACAUUAAAUCGUAAAUCUCAAAUACUAUCAUCUUUAAUUUAUUUUUAUCCUUUUAAAAUUUCUUCCAGUCUUCAAUUGUUUCAAAGCAAUAUACAAAGCGUCCCACUUUAUCUUCUUUUCCUUCAAACUAUGCCAAUGUAUCUUAAAAUUGAAAAUAAAUAUUAAAUUGUUGCAUAACAAAGUUUACAGAUAAUUUAUUAAAAAUUUUUUAACGAAAAUAUGAAACGUGCCACUCGUCAACGAAAACGUAACUCAUCUAUUUGUCGUUUCAAUUUCAAAUAAAAUUUACUCAAAUGUAAUUUACAUAUAAUAUUAGUUAAUAAAUUAUUAUGCAAGUGAUGUCAUUAUUUAUAAUAAAAAUUUUUUUACAGAAAA